RNAcentral lists this ribosomal RNA (332 nucleotides) under uncultured Prevotella sp. RNAcentral describes it as "bacterial SSU rRNA". It matches the Rfam family "Bacterial small subunit ribosomal RNA", at positions 352 to 681 of the family's 1533-position model. Lineage: Bacteria; Pseudomonadati; Bacteroidota; Bacteroidia; Bacteroidales; Prevotellaceae. The record is from RNAcentral.
UGAGGGAAUAUUUGGGUCAAUGGGCGAGAGCCUGAACCAGCCAAGUAGCGUGCAGGACGACGGCCCUAUGGGUUGUAAACUGCUUUUAUACGGGAAUAAAGUGAUGCCUGCGGGCGUUAUUGCAUGUACCGUACGAAUAAGGACCGGCUAAUUCCGUGCCAGCAGCCGCGGUAAUACGGAAGGUCCGGGCGUUAUCCGGAUUUAUUGGGUUUAAAGGGAGCGUAGGCUGUCCUUUAAGCGUGUUGUGAAAUGUAGGCGCUCAACGCCUGCACUGCAGCGCGAACUGAAGGACUUGAGUGUGCACGACGCUGGCGGAAUUCGUGGUGUAGCGG